AACGAGUUAUAAGCCGCCUGAUGAGAAUUCAGAAAUGAAUCGAAACGCGUCGUGGCUGUUUUCUCGGGUUACUCAC
RNAcentral lists this non-coding RNA (76 nucleotides) under Philodina roseola. The record is from RNAcentral. Lineage: Eukaryota; Metazoa; Rotifera; Eurotatoria; Philodinida; Philodinidae.